RNAcentral lists this ribosomal RNA (548 nucleotides) under uncultured Thermoplasmatales archaeon. RNAcentral's name for it is "bacterial SSU rRNA". It matches the Rfam family "Archaeal small subunit ribosomal RNA", at positions 69 to 619 of the family's 1478-position model. Lineage: Archaea; Methanobacteriati; Thermoplasmatota; Thermoplasmata; Thermoplasmatales. The record is from RNAcentral.
GUUCGGCCCUCGGCGGACUGCUCAGUAACACGUGGAUAACCUGCCCUCAGGUGGGGGAUAAUCUCGGGAAACUGAGGAUAAUACCCCAUAGGCCAUUGAUGCUGGAAUGCUCUCUGGCCGAAAGCUCCGGCGCCUGAGGAUGGGUCUGCGGCCUAUCAGGUAGUAGUUGGGGUAACGGCCCAACUAGCCUGCGACGGGUACGGGCCUUGAGAGAGGGAGCCCGGAGAUGGACUCUGAGACACUAGUCCAGGCCCUACGGGGCGCAGCAGUCGCGAAAACUUCACACUGCGGUAACCCGCGAUGAGGGAACCCCAAGUGCCUGGGCAUUAGCUCAGGCUGUUCACCUGUCUAAAAAACAGGUGGAGUAAGGGCUGGGUAAGACCGGUGCCAGCCGCCGCGGUAAUACCGGCAGCCCAAGUGGUGACCAUUUUUAUUGAGCCUAAAACGUCCGUAGCCGGUCCGGCAAAUCCCUGGGCAAAUCGGGCAGCUCAACUGUUCGACUUCCAGGGAGACUACCGGACUAGGGACCGGGAGAGGCCAGAGGUACG